This is a non-coding RNA of Clarias gariepinus (North African catfish), 622 nucleotides long. NCBI's taxonomy places the organism in Eukaryota, Metazoa, Chordata, Actinopteri, Siluriformes, Clariidae. The record is from the annotation of a RefSeq genome assembly.
CUCAGCAACUUCACCCACAGCAACCAUGACUUUGAUCAGCGUCUUCAUCUGCACACUGGCCCUCUGGACUCAAGGAUCCAGAGGUCAGGUGACUGUUACUCAGACUCCUUCAGUGCAAACUGUCGCUCCAGGAAACACCGUCACCAUCAACUGUAGAACCAGCAACAGUGUGCAUAAUAAUGACCAGCUCGCCUGGUACCUGCGGAAAUCUGGAGAAGCUCCUAAACUCCUGAUCUACUAUACUAGUAUCUUACAGUCAGGGACUCCAGCUCGUUUCAGUGGCAGUGGAUCUGGUACUGACUUCACUCUGACCAUCAGAGGAGUCCAGACUGAAGAUGCAGGAGAUUACUAUUGUCAGAGUGUACAUCAAAUUAGUAGUAACUGGGUGUUCACACAGUGUUAGAGCGUGGUACAAAAACCUGGGUGAGUGAGAGAGCACAGAGAAGCACUGCUGCAGCUGGGAGCGACUGCAGGUGCUGAGGGGGAGGAUGUGAUACAGCACAAUCACACACACACACACACACACACACACACACACACACACGCACACACACACACACGCACACACAUCAAAUUAAAAUGUUAUUUUCACAUACACAGUCAUACACAGUACGAUAUGCAG